RNAcentral lists this ribosomal RNA (512 nucleotides) under uncultured bacterium. RNAcentral describes it as "bacterial SSU rRNA". It matches the Rfam family "Bacterial small subunit ribosomal RNA", at positions 29 to 527 of the family's 1533-position model. The record is from RNAcentral.
AUUGAACGCUGGCGGCAUGCCUAACACAUGCAAGUCGAACGGCAGCACGGUCUGGUUUACCAGAUGGGUGGCGAGUGGCGAACGGGUGAGUAAAGCGUAGGAAUAUACCUUAAAGAGGGGGAUAACCUGGGGAAACUCAGGCUAAUACCGCGUAAACUCUGCGGAGCAAAGCUGGGGACCGAAAGGCCUGGCGCUUUAAGAAUAGCCUGCGUCCGAUUAGCUAGUUGGUGGGGUAAAGGCUCACCAAGGCGACGAUCGGUAGCUGGUCUGAGAGGACGAACAGCCACACUGGGACUGAGACACGGCCCAGACUCCUACGGGAGGCAGCAGUGGGGAAUAUUGGACAAUGGGGGGAACCCUGAUCCAGCAAUGCCGCGUGUGUGAAGAAGGCCUGAGGGUUGUAAAGCACUUUCAGUGGGAGGAGGAUUACUAGGUUAAGAGCCAGGUAAUUGGACGUUACCCACAGAAGAAGCGCCGGCUAACUCCGUGCCAGCAGCCGCGGUAAUGUAUCG